Molecule: long non-coding RNA, 794 nt
Organism: Hordeum vulgare subsp. vulgare (domesticated barley)
Lineage: Eukaryota; Viridiplantae; Streptophyta; Magnoliopsida; Poales; Poaceae
Exons: 2
Source: RefSeq, a predicted model, not a curated record
UCUGCGUCUCUCGUCCUCCACGUCGCCCAGCCAGAUAGUGCUCGACCUUUCUCUAAAAAAGAGAUGGUGCUCCCCCCUCAAAAAAAAGAAAAAGAAAAAAAAAAGAUGGUGCUCGACCUCGAAGCCGCCGCACGCCGCCGCUGAAUGCCUGAAUCCCUAAUUCCCUCCGAGCUCCGACUGCUUCCGGCUCCACUCCGCGCUGCCGAGCCCACCUUGGUGGCAAGCUCCUCCACCUCCAGCGGCUCGCGCCGAUGCGUCAUCUCGCUGACUCUCUCCCCGCACCCUGCAGUGCAUCGUCUGCUCCAGCGCUGCAGCGCCUGGCAAGCUCUUCCACGCCGGCGUCGGUGGAGCUGCUACACUAGGCACGGAGGCAUAUGCAAGAGGACUGCGAGAGCGCGAGUGGAUUUUGUUCGGAGAGGUGGCUGGUUGGCGCUGUUCCUGCUCGACAGCUCAAGCCAGAAUUGGACAUGAAGAGGAACGGGACACUCCCUUCUCCUGAAACAUCAGCCUUUAACAUGAUUGCAUCUUCUGCAUUAGUGUAUUAGUGUUUCUUCGCUGUCCAUAACGUUGUAAAGAAAAUCUGAAAAUGUCUAGACGGAUUUUAUUCUUCACAUAUACAGUAUAUCUAAGCAUCGCAGCAUAGCUGGUACAAUCAUGAACCCAAUGUUCUAGUUGGAAUAGUGCAGAGUAUAUAUGCCAAUAACAUGUAAGACAGGUGGUCAGUUACAAUUUACAAACUUGCAGCGGAAAACAUUCCUUUUCAGGAUUGUAGUUCUCCUCGAUCUGCUGCACGA